CGUUAGCGGCGGACGGGUGAGUAACACGUGGGUAACCUACCUAUAAGACUGGGACAACUUCGGGAAACCGGAGCUAAUACCGGAUAAGAUAUCGAACCGCAUGGUUCGAUAGUGAAAGAUGGUUUUGCUAUCACUUAUAGAUGGACCCGCGCCGUAUUAGCUAGUUGGUGAGGUAACGGCUCACCAAGGCAACGAUACGUAGCCGACCUGAGAGGGUGAUCGGCCACACUGGAACUGAGACACGGUCCAGACUCCUACGGGAGGCAGCAGGU
This 272-nucleotide ribosomal RNA is filed under the name uncultured Staphylococcus sp. RNAcentral's name for it is "partial 16S ribosomal RNA". It matches the Rfam family "Bacterial small subunit ribosomal RNA", at positions 90 to 354 of the family's 1533-position model. Lineage: Bacteria; Bacillati; Bacillota; Bacilli; Caryophanales; Staphylococcaceae. The record is from RNAcentral.